AAGGAAAUGGAAUCAAGACAGUU
RNAcentral lists this non-coding RNA (23 nucleotides) under Cricetulus griseus (Chinese hamster). The record is from RNAcentral. Lineage: Eukaryota; Metazoa; Chordata; Mammalia; Rodentia; Cricetidae.